This 1974-nucleotide unclassified non-coding RNA is filed under the name Hevea brasiliensis (rubber tree). The record is from RNAcentral. Lineage: Eukaryota; Viridiplantae; Streptophyta; Magnoliopsida; Malpighiales; Euphorbiaceae.
AAAAAAAAAAAAAAAAAGAAUUGUAAUCAUCAUCUAAGCUUCAUAGACUUUGCACUCCUUAUCUGCUGGGUUUGUCUCGCAGAAGUCUUCCAGUGGGUCUCCACUUCCUGUUGGAGACACUCCUGGCCACUUGCUGGCUACCAAAUGAGCCAAAUCGACAACCCUUUGGCUGUACCCCCAUUCAUUGUCGUACCAGGCUACCACCUUGACCAUGUCAUCUCCCAUGACCAUGGUCAAUGAAGAGUCAAUGGUGGAAGAAACAUCGGUGCACUUGAAGUCAACGGAUACAAGUGGAACAUCACACACAUCCAAUAUGCCCUUCAGUGGCCCCUCUGCUGCCUUUCUGAAGGCUGCAUUGACAUCUUCUGCUGUAAUUCCUUGUUUCUCAACAUUCACAACAAGGUCUACAACUGACACGUUAGGUGUUGGGACACGGAGUGCAAUGCCAUUGAGCUUUCCUUUGAGCUGAGGCAGCACCAAAGACACAGCCUUGGCUGCACCAGUGCUUGUUGGCACAAUGUUCAAUGCUGCAGCCCUGGCUCUCCUCAAAUCACGGUGUGAAGCAUCCAAGAGCCUCUGAUCUCCAGUGUAGGAGUGAGUGGUUGUCAUUGUUCCCUUAACAAUGCCAAAUUCCUCAUCUAUGACCUUCACAAAAGGAGCCAGACAAUUUGUGGUACAUGAAGCAUUGCUUACAAUGUUGGAAACCUCAUGACCGUAAUCCUUUUCAUUAACACCAACAACAUAUGUUGGAAUGUCAGCUCCUUUUGCUGGAGCAGUGAUAAUGACUUUCUUGGCACCGGCUUGAAUAUGUUUCCCAGCACCAGGGCCAUCCACAAAAACUCCUGUUCCCUCAAUGACAAUGUCUAUUCCAAGCUCAGCCCAGGGAAGCUUAAGAGGGUCUCUGUUGGAGACAACCUUGAUGGGCUUGCCAUCAACACUAAUGGUGGCAUCGUCCACAAUUUUAACAUCUGCUUGGAAAGUGCCUAGCAUAGAAUCAUAUUUCAGCAAGUGGGAAGCGUUCCUGACACCACCACUGUCGUUGACGACAAUUACAUCAAGGGGGGAGUUCUUGCGGCCAUGCCAGCAUCUUAGGAAGUUCCUGCCAAUGCGUCCGAAUCCAUUGAUUGCCACCUUCAGUUUGGCUACUGUUUCUGCUUUAGCAGGAGUUGACGCUGCAACCUGAUUUUUGAAAUAAUUUCCAAUACAAAAUUAAUGUAGGAUAUAGGAAACCUGAGAUACAUAAAUAUCAAUUCCAAAUACCAUAUUCUUUUAAAUCUUUUGGCCCAAAAGGGCUGCAUACCUUAAUCUAUAAAAUUUAUAAGCAGAAAUAUUAUCUAUAAACCUAUGAUCAUUUAUGGCCAAGAUCACUUGAAAUUGGAUUAUUAAUCCUCAGACAUGUCUUCAUUUCAAUUCAAGAAACCUUUUCUUUAAUUAUUUAUUUAAGAGAUGGGAGAGUAGAAGCAAGGUUUUGAAUUCCUAGUUACUUGUACUAACACAAGGAAGGAAGGUCUACUGCUCAAACUUACUAAACAUGGUCAUCAAGAACAGUUUUAAUUUAAAAUGCUAAGAAGCCCUCAAAGAACUUGAUUUUGGUGUAUGUUAGGGAAAAGAAAUGAUUUUCAAUUCAUAUGGUGAACCAUCAUGGCUCUUAGCUGCAUCACAGAACAAUAGUUUUGAGGGAAAAAUAAAAAAAGAAAAGGAGCAUGCAAGUAUAGUUUAGAAAACCUUGGGAGUCAUUUGAGCAGCCACCAGGUCAAAGAAGGAGGCCUCACUAGCGUUCUUGGCGUAGGUCACACAAGAACUGGCUCGAAGCCCAGAAAACUCAGCCACUUCCAACCUCUUAGAGGAGCAUUGAGUGGGGAAAGAGUGGGUGCUCUUGGAGGGGAGCCUGGUGCUGGCUGGGAUUCUUGAAGGAGCUAGAGCUGCGUGGGUGGCCAUAGCUGCAACUAAAGCUCCCCUCCAAGAGCACCCACU